CUGGGGGAGCAUGUGAAUUAAGCCUGAGCCAGUCAUUCACUUGCAUUUCCCUGCCCCAGUCUCUGUUUGUUAAGAUCAAACUGAAUUUCUAGCUCCCACAUCUGCAAAGGGAAUUCUGAAAAGGUGAAGUGUGUUGCCUGAAAGCAAAGAAACUAGAAAGAAAAGGAAACGUUUAACUGAUGAUUCUGAAUAGACAUUAUUUGUGCUUGUUUGAGUUUUGCAACUGGGGCAAGCUGUGCUUGAGAGCCAUUUUGUUAUGUGGAAUGUUUCUGAACGAUGAACUGAUGAUGUAGGUUUGACAACCAAAAGAGAUGUCUCAGGGCUGAAACCUCAGGCUAAACUGGCUGCUUGGUGGGUGAGGGAUUUUGCAUUUGGUAACACGUAUAAACUGUGUGCUUAAACACAAGGGUACCAUGCUGGUGGGCAGUGGACGGGAGAUGCUGGUACCAAGUACAGAGCCAAAGGAGUCUGGCAGGCCUUCCAGCACUGAACUUCAGGCUGUCUUCUAAAAAGUCCUUGGAGUGUGCUGGAGAUGCACAGCUGCAAGCAGCAGGGGAAAACACUGCAGAUUGUGCUGAAAGGCACAGGCUGGCUGUACCCUGGGCAGUUCUCUGGAAAGGGCCAGUAGCUGCCAUAUCACGGACUGGCCAGGAUCUCCACUACCUCAGACCAGUCUCUGGAAGCACAUCCCUCUGAAAGGUAAAAAGCCACAUCUGGAGCCCAACCCUUGCACAUGGACAUGGGGAGCAAUACUGGCUCUCCUAAAUUAGCACCAUUCCACCAGCUCCAUUGCAAGAAAAUGCUGAGGAUACUUAUUUUUAAGCCAAAUCAAAUUAAAAACAAUAAAAAAGGAAGUGGUUAAGGGCA
Molecule: long non-coding RNA, 867 nt
Filed under: Coturnix japonica (Japanese quail)
Lineage: Eukaryota; Metazoa; Chordata; Aves; Galliformes; Phasianidae
Description: lncRNA (ENSCJPG00005013586.1)
Source: RNAcentral